GGUAACGAUAGCGGUGAGGGUCCACCUGUUCCCAUUCCGAACACAGUAGUUAAGCUCACUUGCGCCGAAAAUACUUGUCUGGCGACGGACCGGAAAGAUAGGCAAUUGC
This 109-nucleotide ribosomal RNA is filed under the name bovine gut metagenome. The record is from RNAcentral.